Molecule: ribosomal RNA, 866 nt
Filed under: Zelotes sp. JCS-2006
Lineage: Eukaryota; Metazoa; Arthropoda; Arachnida; Araneae; Gnaphosidae
Description: SSU rRNA
Rfam family: Eukaryotic small subunit ribosomal RNA
Source: RNAcentral
UGCAUGUCUAAGUACAUGCCGUAUUAAGGCGAAACCCGCGAAUGGCUCAUUAAAUCAGUUAUGGUUCCUUGGAUCGUACCUUACUACUUGGAUAACUGUGGCAAUUCUAGAGCUAAUACAUGCAGCAGAGCUCCGACCUUCGGGGACGAGCGCUUUUAUUAGACCAAAACCAAUCGGACCUCGUGUCCGUCCUCCGUGGUGACUCUGUAUAACUUUGGGCUGAUCGCACGGGCCCGUCCCGGCGACGUAUCUUUCAAGUGUCUGCCUUAUCAACUUUCGAUGGUAGGUUACGCGCCUACCAUGGUCGUAACGGGUAACGGGGAAUCAGGGUUCGAUUCCGGAGAGGGAGCCUGAGAAACGGCUACCACAUCCAAGGAAGGCAGCAGGCGCGCAAAUUACCCACUCCCAGAACGGGGAGGUAGUGACGAAAAAUAACAAUACGGGACUCUUUUGAGACCCCGUAAUUGGAAUGAGUACACUCUAAAUCCUUUAACAAUUAGCAAUUGGAGGGCAAGUCUGGUGCCAGCAGCCGCGGUAAUUCCAGCUCCAAUAGCGUAUAUUAAAGUUGUUGCGGUUAAAAAGCUCGUAGUUGGAUCUCAGUUCCAGACGGGUGGUCCGCCAACCGGUGGUUACUGCCUGUUCUGAACAGCCAGCCGGUUUCUCUUGAUGAUCUUCACCGGUUGUCUUGGGUGACCGGCAAGUUUACUUUGAAAAAAUUAGAGUGCUCAAAGCAGGCGCGACGCCUGAAUAAUGGUGCAUGGAAUAAUGGAAUAGGACCUCGGUUCUAUUUUGUUGGUUUUCGGAACACGAGGUAAUGAUUAAGAGGGACAGACGGGGGCAUUCGUAUUGCGACGCUAGAGGUGAAA